GGGAGCAUAGCUCAGCUGGGAGAGCAUCUGCCUUACAAGCAGGGGGUCACAGGUUCAAGUCCUGUUGUUCCCACCA
This 76-nucleotide transfer RNA is filed under the name Clostridiales bacterium. RNAcentral describes it as "tRNA-Val". It matches the Rfam family "tRNA". From Rfam's summary of the family: Transfer RNA (tRNA) molecules are approximately 80 nucleotides in length. Their secondary structure includes four short double-helical elements and three loops (D, anti-codon, and T loops). Further hydrogen bonds mediate the characteristic L-shaped molecular structure. tRNAs have two regions of fundamental functional importance: the anti-codon, which is responsible for specific mRNA codon recognition, and the 3' end, to which the tRNAs corresponding amino acid is attached (by aminoacyl-tRNA synthetases). tRNAs cope with the degeneracy of the genetic code in two manners: having more than one tRNA (with a specific anti-codon) for a particular amino acid; and 'wobble' base-pairing, i.e. permitting non-standard base-pairing at the 3rd anti-codon position. Lineage: Bacteria; Bacillati; Bacillota; Clostridia; Eubacteriales. RNAcentral also lists the same sequence under 2 other names. The record is from RNAcentral.